GUAGAAUACUGCGUUUGUUUUGGCUUCGGAGGGGACGAAGAGUCAAAAUCCCUAAACAGUCGUCCCCAUCUCUAGUUGCAUCCCGCCGCCUCCUCCGCGUCUGGCGCCGCCGCACCCCAUCUGGUGCUUGACCCCAAUCCCGCCGCUGCCGCCCCACGCCUCCAGCGCCGUCUCCAUCCCAUGGAGGGCCGCUCCCUUGCCUUGCCGUCCAGCCACUCCUACGCCGCCUCCCUCUCGUCGAGGGACGCCUCCCUCGCCGUCCAGCGCCGCCCCCUCGCUGUCCAGCGGCUCCAGUGCCGCCUCCAUCCCGAUCGAUAGGCGCCUCCCUCGCCGUCCAGCCACCCCAGCGCCGCCUCUCUCCCCGUUGACUGGGUCCUCCCUCGCCGUCCAUAUCUGCUUCCCUUGCCGUCCAGAUCUGAUCCCCACGACGGCCAGCAGCCUCACCCUUCUGUCUCCCUCCCAGUCCAGCUCCUCCCACUGCCGAGUCAAGUCUUGGCGAACUACAACCGACCUGAGGAGAGGAAGACCCAAUAAAGGGUCCGAGGCUAGCAUGUCAGCUACCACGGCAAGGAAGGAGGCAAGUUUCCCACUACAUUCAUCCUCUGCAGUCUAAAACUCUAAAUGUAAUACACAUGCACCAAGCCUUAUUACCAAGAAACACGUGGAAUGUGAGGCGGCGGCGAAGCAUUAGCUAGCGCGGGUGCGUCACCUCUGUGGUAUUGUGGGCAAUCACGGUUUUGGCAAGCUCACUGGAAUCAAGUGAGGGCAGUGAGAUAACGACGAAUGUGGCAGCGAGAAAUGAUGGUUCUCCUGAUCUUCCUUUCUGUGGUAUCUUCUAAGGCAUCCCUGAUAUGUCUCUUUUUGGUUCUUAAAUGAUUCUUGCUAUGAAUAGUUCAUCUCCUAAAUAUAUCUUAAUUGUGUUUGUCUCUAGGAGCGCGACAUCGUAACCCAGACAAGUUCUUUCCAGAUUUAGAUAUUUAGCUCAACAUUAAAAUCACAACUUCGUGAGAUUCUAAACCUGAAGGGAGAGCACUACGUAGCGUUCCUAUUUGAUAGCUCUCUCUGUCAUAUCUCAUUUGAUAGCUGCAUCCAUGCCGGUGCUAAAUGCUUUUUACUUGGUUGCGCUGCUGAAAUUGAGCUGAAUUACACUUCUACAACUUUGUAGCUAUAUGUGAGCCUCCCACUAAUUUUUUGACAGUUGCUUCAUUAGGUACACUCAUCAUUCAUGGUUUUUUAUUACAGUUUCUUAGCAUACAUGAUAUGCUUACCAACAGGUUUGUGGUACUACUGUCUUCAAACAUUUCAAAGCUUAAGACAUGGCAAACUGAUGAGUUGGAAAACAUUAUGAUGCUAUCACCAAUUCAUUUUAAGCAUACAUAUAUAGCAGUUCUUAAUUCUUGGUGAUCAAAAUGCGGAUGAUUUAAGGUACUAAGUGAUGUUCUAACAUAUUUUCCACUUACCUAUGUUGUUUUACAUAUGCCCAUUAUUUUCUAUUCAUGUUACCUAAGGUAUUUCCCGCUAACAAGUUAUUUUCUUUGUGAUUAUUAGGUUCCAAACCUGCUGUUUGAUGUUGCCGGUAUUGUGUUUGGUCAAUGGUAUACCUUCUAGGAGUUCUUCUUUGCAACUUUGAUUGGGAAGACCAGCAUCAAGACUCGUAUUCAGGUGGAUGAAUCUUCCCAAGCCUAAGAGCUUGCUGGUACUCUGUUUGGCAGCUUCUUCCCAUGCUGAGAAGACCAUGGUGCUACUCCGACCAAGGAGAAUCAUUUAGGAAUGUAUUUUCUGACUGUUCAGCUUCGUUUGUCUUUUGGAGGGGCUAGAUGGAGCAGCUCUUGUUCUUUUUAAGUUUUUGGGAACCAUGAGUUGGAAUAUCAUUUUGUGAACAAUUCAAGAUAUUGCAAUGAAUGUGAUCUUAUUUACUCGGUUGUGCAUAUUGCUGUGCAGAAAUAUAAA
This 1950-nucleotide ribosomal RNA is filed under the name Triticum aestivum (bread wheat). RNAcentral describes it as "partial small subunit ribosomal RNA". Lineage: Eukaryota; Viridiplantae; Streptophyta; Magnoliopsida; Poales; Poaceae. The record is from RNAcentral.